Molecule: long non-coding RNA, 1488 nt
Organism: Phragmites australis (common reed)
Lineage: Eukaryota; Viridiplantae; Streptophyta; Magnoliopsida; Poales; Poaceae
Exons: 2
Source: RefSeq, a predicted model, not a curated record
CAAAAUCAAAUCGCCCCUGUCUCCUAUCUCUAUUCCCAUCUGAAUCCAAACUGAGUCCCUCUCGAUCUCCAACUGAAUCCCACCUAUACCGGCCUCGAUUGCUUGAUUCCGGAACCCUAGACUCUUGCCUAUAUAAGAAGGGGAAAGGGAGGAGGCCCGGAGGGGAUUUUGAGAGAAGAUUGAGGCGAAGCCCUGACGCGUUUACAUCUUGCCGUCUCUAGAGAAGUCUUGCCAGGGCCGCCGACCGCCAUGGCUGCCGCGCAUGGUGGACUUGUGUGUCAUCGCCGCCGGCUCAGCUCGUCCUCUUCCUACCGUUGAGUGGUAAAGACGAGGGGCCGACAGUUCAUGGUGACCCUUCCCCCGCUGCGCCGCCACCGCGAGAUGCUCUGGCGUGAGCGUGACGUGCUGCCGCCGCGACGUGCUCCGGCGUAUGCGCGUCGUUUCCGCCGUGAGGUGCUCCGGCAGGCACGCGUCGUCGCCGCCGUGAGGUCUCCAGUCACUAUCGCGCACACAUGCUAAUGUGUUCGCCGCCGGCAUGUUGUUCUAGGGCGCGCGUAUUGUUCUGAUGCGCGUGUGAUGCUGUUAAGAGGCCGUCGACGUGCUGUCUUGUUAUGCCGCCACCGGUGUGUAUGCUGCAACCACCGUGCUGUUUAGCUGUGCUCACUGCCGGUCUGCCGUGAUGCCGCUUGUUUUCUGCCGGCCAGUAAUGCUGAUGUACCUGAGGCCGGCCGUCAACACCGAGAUUCUACUACACUCUUGUUGCGCUGCUGAUGUCCUUCUUGUAGUGGCCAGUGAUGUAUUUGACGCCCGACCCUCGUCGAAGGUAUGCUGUCUUUGCAGUGCAGAUUGCAAUUCGCCGGCAGAUACAACUCGCCGUGCUCGCAUCUCCAGGCCGAUCGAUGAUGAAGGUUUGAGGCCAGUCUGUGAGGGUGAUGUUUCCCUGGUGCUGCCCUGUUCCUGGUCUGUGUGAUACCGCCGUGGUGAUGCCGCCGUGCUGGUGAUCCCUGGUGCUUGUUGCCGUAGUAGGCCAUGGCUAGCUGCUACUAUUGUUCCUGGUGGGUUCUGAUGCUUGAUGCCCCUUCUGUUGUCGGCCGAUCCUAGGCAGUUUGCUCUUGCUUCUGCUUUUGGUCAAUGUGAGGGUGAGCUAAUGGUUGUGCUUGCCCUAUGCCACCCACUACUUGUUUGAUGGUUUGCGAGGAUGAUGGCACUGCAUGGCCUGUGUUGCCUGCGGUUUGAUGCCGAUGAUGGUCACGCUGCUUGACCUUGAUUGCUGAUGACUUGCUAUGCAUGAUCAUGCCCUCCUAUUGCCUAGGGCUGGAUGGUUGCCUGUUGCCUCGGAUACGACCGAUGAGGUCGUAGUGGCUAGUGAGCUAAGCAUGAUAUCGGGCUCCCAGUUGUAGCCUAGCUGCUACGCCUGUUAAGCUACGCACCACACCAUGCUCCUAGUGUGCUACGGUCGCUUUUACUUUGUUGAGGUUGAUGAUAUGA